AAUAGUAGCAAAAAAAAAGAGUCAAGGAAUUAUAUAUAAAAAAGAAGCAACUAAAAAAUAAGCAAUUAUUGCUGCAAUAAAAAUAUAAGAAUAAAUUAUAAGAAGGAUUAAAAAAAUUAGGGCAAAAAUCAAAUGAAUAAUAAAUGAUAUUUAUAGUAGCAAUAAACGUUGAGGACUGAAAUAAUAUAUCUUAUAUUUUAAGUCAAAAAUUGCAACUAAUUAAAGUUUGAGCAUGAAAGUAUCACAUGCCUCGUAGUUUAAAUCAUAACAUAUUACAGUUCGGAGAUUAAAGUGUCACUUGUCUUAUAGUUUUAAGGAUUAAAAGUGUUUAUCCAAUCUUCCAAAAUUUUGUUUUGAUUAUUCAAUUUUUCGAUAUAUUAGAUUUGAGUAAGUUAAUGAUACUUAAAUUUUAAAAAUCUAAAUGCAUAACUUAGAUUUACAGAUUUAGUUAGUAUAUUUUAUACGAUUCUCACAACUAAAUUUUAUAAAAUAUAAAAUUAAUUUAAACUCCAUCAAAUUUUUUUAAAAUUUUUUAAUGUACAAUCUAUAUCUAAAUGCUCAAUAGUAUAAAAUUAAAAUUUAUAUUCAAUACAAACAGCCUAAAAUAUUUAAAAAUUAUUUAUAUAUUUUAAAUAGGGGCAAUUGCCUAUAUACCCCUGAAAAGUUUUCAGUUUUCUUAUUUACCCCUCUUAGAAGGCUAAUAUUGAAAAUACCCUUCUUGUGUUUCAAGUUUUUCUAAAAUACCCCUAGAGUUAAGUUCCGUUAGUGAGCUGCCGUUAUCUCUGAAAAAUUACCAUUUUACCCAUUCCAAUAUACUCUUGUACCGUAACAAACUUUUCUUAUAUACUCUUCAUAUAGCAAAUACUUUUCUUAUUUGCCCUUCGUCCGGAUCCGGAGCGGAGGGCGUGCAGGGGUCCGAUGGCGUUGCGGCCCUCUUGCUCCCGGCGCCGGCCAAGGCAGCGGAGGAGGAGGAGGACGACGAGAGUGGCGAGAGAUGGGAUUGUCGCUGCGGCCCUCUUGCUCCCGACGUCGGCCAAGGCGGCGUAGGAGGAAGAUGACGGCGACGAGAGCGGCGGCGGAGGAGGAGGAGGACGACGAGAGUGGCGAGAGAUGGGAUCGUCGCUGCGGCCCUCUUGCUCCCGGCGCCGGCCAAGGCGGCGUAGGAGGAAGAUGACGGUGACGAGAGCGGCGGCGGAGGAGGAUGACGAGAGCGACGAGAGUGGUGGUGCUGGAGGUGGAGGUGUGGGAGGUGGUGGUGGUUUAGGAAGAGAUGAGGCGAGGUGGAGGCGGAGGAGCCGGCCGGUGGUGGCGACCAAGUUAGGAAAGAAAGAGAGGAUAACCUUAGGGAUUAGUAUAAUAAGGUAGGGGCAAAAUAGGUAUUUUAUUUAGGUUUUAACUCUGGUAUACAUUUAAUCCAUGUUUAACCCGAGUUAAACUAACAGGGGAUAACUGUGGGGGUAUUUUGGAAUAACGGUGGAACAUAUGAGGGGUAUUUUAGAAAGAAAAAAAAAAUAGGGGUAGAUCGGAUAUUUCCGAACGCAUGAAGGGUAUAUAGGCAAUUAUCCCUUUUAAAUAUUUAUAGUAAAAAAUAAAAAAGUUAGAUUGUGAGUAAAAAAAA
RNAcentral lists this long non-coding RNA (1618 nucleotides) under Ananas comosus (pineapple). Its description in RNAcentral is "long non-coding RNA (ACOM_LNC013562)". Lineage: Eukaryota; Viridiplantae; Streptophyta; Magnoliopsida; Poales; Bromeliaceae. The record is from RNAcentral.